GGAUGAACGCUGGCGGCGUGCCUAAUACAUGCAAGUCGAGCGAACUGAUUAGAAGCUUGCUUCUAUGACGUUAGCGGCGGACGGGUGAGUAACACGUGGGCAACCUGCCUGUAAGACUGGGAUAACUUCGGGAAACCGAAGCUAAUACCGGAUAGGAUCUUCUCCUUCAUGGGAGAUGAUUGAAAGAUGGUUUCGGCUAUCACUUACAGAUGGGCCCGCGGUGCAUUAGCUAGUUGGUGAGGUAACGGCUCACCAAGGCAACGAUGCAUAGCCGACCUGAGAGGGUGAUCGGCCACACUGGGACUGAGACACGGCCCAGACUCCUACGGGAGGCAGCAGUAGGGAAUCUUCCGCAAUGGACGAAAGUCUGACGGAGCAACGCCGCGUGAGUGAUGAAGGCUUUCGGGUCGUAAAACUCUGUUGUUAGGGAAGAACAAGUACGAGAGUAACUGCUCGUACCUGACGGUACCUA
Molecule: ribosomal RNA, 472 nt
Filed under: soil bacterium 3V-15
Lineage: Bacteria
Description: bacterial SSU rRNA
Rfam family: Bacterial small subunit ribosomal RNA
Source: RNAcentral